UACGUAGGGGGCUAGCGUUGUCCGGAAUCAUUGGGCGUAAAGAGCGUGUAGGCGGCCCGGCAAGUCCGCUGUGAAAGUCGGGGGCUCAACCCUCGAAUGCCGGUGGAUACUGUCGGGCUAGAGUGCGGAAGAGGCGAGUGGAAUUCCUGGUGUAGCGGUGAAAUGCGCAGAUAUCAGGAGGAACACCGAUUGCGAAGGCAGCUCGCUGGGACGUAACUGACGCUGAGGAGCGAAAGCGUGGGGAGCGAACAGG
RNAcentral lists this ribosomal RNA (253 nucleotides) under uncultured bacterium. Its description in RNAcentral is "partial 16S ribosomal RNA". It matches the Rfam family "Bacterial small subunit ribosomal RNA", at positions 524 to 776 of the family's 1533-position model. The record is from RNAcentral.